CUCGAGUUCGUGCUCGGGGAAAAGAUCGCCGUUGUUGCGGCGGGGCGUACGUGCGCCGGAAACUCCAUCGUGUCCUCUGUGUUCACCGUUUUUUCUUCUUCUUUUGUCGUGCGAGCGCAGUAAGAGAGAGAGGCAAGCGAGAGCUCAGGUGAGGAGGAAAGCUAGGGCUUGACAACAACAAUAGUAUCACUUCCUUUCAGGUCCUAAACUCACUUUAUGUAUAGAAACUGCGUGACUUUUUGUUGCAUGUGUUUUACAUCUUCCGUUUUAUGGUUAUUCUCUUUUAGUCAGGUUAUGCAAUGAUCCAAAGAGUGUUCUGUUUUUACCAUUCAUAUGGAAUAUAAUAGUUCAUAUCCAGUCGUGCAAUUGGUAAAGUUUCACACAACUUACAUCAUGGUUGCAUACCUAUGAUUCACGCUGAUGCAUAUAAGAAAAUGUACCAUGUAGGCUAAAUUGAUAAUAUUGUAAUCUCUAACUUAAAAUUGGUGCCCUCAUACAACGAACCUCAUCCCUUAGGGAAGUAUAUGCCAUUGUCUGCCACACUUCAAAACAAUAGAUGUGUCAGGUACUCCCUCCGUCCCAAAAUAAGUGUCGCAACUUUGUACGAGCUCUAGUAUAAAUUUAUAUUAAGCUCAAGACACUUAUUUUGGGACGGAGAGAGUAUGAUUUAUCAUUAACCUUAAGAUUUUGUUAACAUAGGUCGCAAAGUAUUAAUCUCAUGUUUUAUUUUUAAUAAUUUCCUGUCAAAUAGAUUUGUGUUUGCCGCAUUUCAGAAGUAAUUUUGAGCUUUUGUAUACUAUGUUCUUCGUCCAGUUUUUGUAUAGUCAAAGUGGAAUGUCUUCUUUGGAUAAGUUGGUGGUUAUUUUUUUAAUGAUAUAAUUAAAUUUGAUUAUAUUUUGCUUUCAUUUCUUUUGUUACACAUUACUCCCUCCGUCCUAAAAUAAGUUACUCAGGUUUGUACUAACUUUAGCUUCAUUUGUUUUACUUGCAAGGUGUCUAGAAAUCGGCCCGGUGGUUGUUCUGCUCUCUAUUACAAUUCAUCUUGAACUUUGCUAUGAUAUUUCACAUUGUGAUGUGCUAAUGGUUGAAUGGUUAGCUAAAAUUCAUUCGUUUUGUUUGAUGAUAUUGCACUAAAACAAACAAGAUUUUACUUUGUACUUCUAUUUUUCUCUCCUAGCAUAUCAAUAUGGAUUGACUGAACAAAUUAUGAUAUGGAAAUAUCCUAAGUGCAAAACAACAUGUGAC
This 1245-nucleotide long non-coding RNA is filed under the name Triticum aestivum (bread wheat). Its description in RNAcentral is "long non-coding RNA (TAES_LNC001365)". The record is from RNAcentral. Lineage: Eukaryota; Viridiplantae; Streptophyta; Magnoliopsida; Poales; Poaceae.